GAACAUGAGAGUUUGAUCCUGGCUCAGGAUGAACGCUGGCGGCGUGCUUAACACAUGCAAGUCGAACGGAAGUUUCUCGCUGAAGCGAGCUUGCUCAAUUCUUGAG
Molecule: ribosomal RNA, 106 nt
Filed under: Candidatus Colinaster scatohippi
Lineage: Bacteria; Bacillati; Bacillota; Clostridia; Lachnospirales; Lachnospiraceae
Description: partial 16S ribosomal RNA
Rfam family: Bacterial small subunit ribosomal RNA
Source: RNAcentral